RNAcentral lists this microRNA (23 nucleotides) under Scyliorhinus torazame (cloudy catshark). Its description in RNAcentral is "Sto-Mir-10-P3b_5p (mature (guide))". The record is from RNAcentral. Lineage: Eukaryota; Metazoa; Chordata; Chondrichthyes; Carcharhiniformes; Scyliorhinidae.
UCCCUGAGACCCUAACCUGUGAC